Molecule: small RNA, 132 nt
Filed under: Escherichia coli
Lineage: Bacteria; Pseudomonadati; Pseudomonadota; Gammaproteobacteria; Enterobacterales; Enterobacteriaceae
Description: RtT sRNA
Rfam family: RtT RNA
About the family: This family represents a bacterial cis-regulatory element known as RtT RNA. The exact function of RtT is unknown although it is thought that it may be involved in changing the cellular response in relation to amino acid starvation.
Source: RNAcentral
AUUCUGCCCAUGCGGGGAAGGAUGAGAAGCUUCGACUAAGGUUCGACUCGAGCGCCAGCGAGAGAGCGUUGCCGCAGGCAAUGACCCGUAGGGCGAAGCGCGCAGCGCUGAGUAAUCCUUCCCCCACCACCA